Jatropha curcas is the source of this 2178-nucleotide non-coding RNA. The record is from RefSeq and is a predicted model, not a curated record. Lineage: Eukaryota; Viridiplantae; Streptophyta; Magnoliopsida; Malpighiales; Euphorbiaceae.
GCUCCUAGUUUAUUUCUAUUUUGGAGUGGAUUUGUGACGGUCACCGGCUACGGCUUCCUUCUCUGGUUUUCAAAAAUCUCUGCAACAUUGCUACACUAUUUCAUGUUCCUAUAGAGUCAAUUUCAAAUCUGUCAGAAACAUAUUUUCAAGUCUUUUUUUUUUAAUUAUUCUUUAAUUAUUAUUAUUAUUAUUGUUGUUGUUGUUGUUGUUGUUCGACUUCGAGAUUUUUCUCUUCUGAUUUCCUCUUCCUUUUCAGUUGGCUGCCCAAAUUGCUGGUUUCAGUUAGGAACUGGAAACAUUUAUAGGGUUUUGUUUUGGAUCCCAUGGAUACUUCAAUUGCUGAAGUCUGUUUCACAACUUAAUUUUACUUCCUCUUAAAUUUUUGAUAAGGCCAGGCCUGCAUAGGAAGAAUUUGGUUUUUGUUGUGCUGGUGGAAAAACCAUGGUAGGGAAUUCAUUAGCUCAGGUUUCAAAAUGCUCUGCUACCAUGUUAUCAUCAUCGUUGAUUGUUGUACCCAAUGGUUCUUCGAGCUUCUUGCCCUAUCUUCCAUCACGACAGAAAAAACAAGUCAGGCUGGUCAGAGCUAUGUCAGCGGACGCAGGACCUAGCCAAGCAUCCUCAUCUUCAUCAGAGAAAAAGAAUCCACUUGCAGUUGUUUUGGAGGUUCCUCAAAAUGUUUGGAGGCAAACAUUAAAGCCAUUGAGUGAUUUUGGCUUUGGAAGGAGGAGCAUUUGGGAAGGUGGAGUUGGGCUGUUUCUUGUGUCAGGUGCUGUACUUUUUGCACUUAGUUUGGCUUGGUUGAGGGGGUUUCAAUUACGUUCGAAAUUCAGGAAGUAUUUGGCUGUAUUUGAGUUUGCUCAAGCCGGUGGUAUUUGCACGGGAACCCCAGUUAGGAUUAGAGGGGUGACUGUUGGCAAUGUCAUCAAAGUUAAUCCUUCCUUAAGAUGUAUUGAAGCAGUUGUUGAGGUUGAAGAUGAUAAAAUAAUCAUACCCAGAAAUUCGCUAAUCGAGUUGAACCAGUCAGGUCUUCUUAUGGAAACAAUCAUUGAUAUUACACCUAAAGAUCCAAUUCCAUCACCAUCUGUUGGACCUCUUGAUGCUGAAUGCAUUAAGGAAGGUCUAAUUGUAUGCGACAGGCAAAAGAUAAAGGGACGUCAAGGAGUGAGUUUAGAUGAAUUGGUUGGAAUAUUUACCCGUCUAGGACGUGAAAUGGAGGAAAUUGGUGUUUCGAAGGGUUAUACACUGGCUGAACGUGUUGCUGCUGUAAUUGAAGAUGCAAAACCACUGCUUACAAAGUGAUAUCUCAGAUCGAGGAAAUGGCUGAAGAUAUUCAACCUUUGCUAGCUGAGGUUCGUGAUGGUGGUCUUCUUAAGGAAGUUGAAACUUUGACUAGAAGCCUAACGCAAGCCUCUGAAGAUUUAAGAAGGGCACAUGCAUCUAUUAUGACCCCCGAGAACACUGAGUUGAUUCAAAAGUCCAUUUACAGUCUGAUAUUUACUUUGAAAAACAUUGAGAAUAUAAGCUCUGAUAUUCUGGGAUUUACGGGUGAUGAAGUUACAAGACGGAACUUGAAAGCACUUAUCAAGUCUCUAAGUAGGAUGUUAUGAAGACAAGUAAAAAGUGAGAAUAGCAAUGGUAACUCUCAAAGUUGAUCAGGUGCCUGAAAUGGUUUCCUUCAUUAUGCUUGACACAUGACAGAGCCAUAGUGAAUCUUACAGGUCAUCUCCCUUCUGGUUGCAUUUGUGAAGAAGGCUUCAACUUAGAGGUACUUAUUGCAUUCUUUUUAAUAAAGUUAUGUGAGAUGUUUCUCUUAACCCAGUCAGAAUUGAAUGGAGGAAGCUUUUUAAUGGAAGCUUUUUUGUUAUAGAAAACUUGUGAUUACCAUUUUGAAUACUUGGAAAAGCUUUCAUUUUCUCCUGGGAUUUUGUUUCCCAGCUAAAAGAAAGUUCCAUUCUGGAGAAGAUAGAAUGCCAUUACUGCUUGAUGAAUUUUUUUUUUAUCUGCAUGGUCUUUUUUUUUUUUUCACCGUCCUUGAAAGGCUGACAAAUGAAAUCAUGAAUUUAUUUUUCUUUUUAAAUUGCUAACUUGGAACUAUAUUCCUAUUUAUUUGUGGUUUGAAUUGUCUUCUAAAAAGACAAAAGACAGAGUCCUGAUUCAUUCUUAUCCGAAUCUUGUUGA